RNA transcript from Aquila chrysaetos chrysaetos, 9938 nucleotides. It is a transcript of the gene named mannosidase alpha class 2A member 1, with no coding region annotated. The transcript is spliced from 21 exons. NCBI's taxonomy places the organism in Eukaryota, Metazoa, Chordata, Aves, Accipitriformes, Accipitridae. The record is from RefSeq and is a predicted model, not a curated record.
GGCGCGGAGUGUGUGCGCGGCGGCCCGCGGUGCUUCGGCGGCGGCAGCGCUCUGGCCGCCGGGCGGGGGAGGAGGUGCUAGACUCCGGCGCCGCUUGCCGGCAACGAGGAGGAGCGGAGCGGCUAGCGAGGCGGCCGGAGGAGGAAGGAAGGAAGGAAGGAAGGCAGGCAGGCAGGCAGGCAGGGGCGGGGGAGCAGCGGCGCUCGGUCGGCCCCGCAGCGCUGCCGCCGCCACCUCCACCACUUCCCCGCUGGGCGCUAGCCUGCCCGGGAAACCGAUCCGCUCCCUGAAACUCUCGGCUCGCCUCUCGCCGCUGCGGCGGCAGGGUCUCGGCAGGGCUCUCCGCCCCGGCGCAGCGAGCGAGCGAGCGGGCGGGGGGGGGGGGGGGUAACUUCUCGCACUUCUCCGGAGAGGACUUGGGGCUGCCCCGCGCCGGCGGCGGCGGCGCCUGGGGUCCCCGCCGCCCGCCGCGGCGGGAGAACUUUCCCCUCCGAGCGCGGGGCGGCGAGUGGGGCCCGGGAGCGCCGGCCGCGGCGGGAGGAGCGCGGCGGCGGCGGCGGGGCCGGCCCGGCGGCCGCGGAGAUGAAGCUGAGCCGGCAGUUCACGGUGUUCGGCAGCGCGGUCUUCUGCGUGGUGAUCUUCUCCCUCUACCUGAUGCUGGACCGUGGCCACUUCGACCACCCGAAGAGCCCCCGGCGGGAGGGCACCUUCCCCAAGGGCCAGCUUUCAAUACUGCAAGAAAAAAUAGAUCACUUAGAACGCCUGUUGGCAGAAAAUAAUGAGAUUAUUUCAAACAUACGAGAUUCUGUGAUCAAUCUGAGUGAAUCAGUAAAGGAUGGUCAAAAAAAUCCAGAGGCUAUAAACUUCAGUCAAGGAUCUGUCUCUGAGCUCUUUCCUUCUGCUUCAGUUUUGCUUGCAGUUGAUUCUGAGGAUUGUUUGUUUGCUUCAAAAAGUGGAACUCAUGGUUCAGGUGUACAGAUGUUGGAUGUCUAUGACAUUCUUCCUUUCGAUAAUCCAGAUGGUGGCGUGUGGAAACAAGGAUUCGAUAUCACAUACAAUGAAAACGAAUGGGACAGUGAACCACUUCAAGUUUUUGUCGUGCCUCACUCACAUAAUGACCCAGGUUGGCUGAAGACUUUUGAUGAUUACUUCAGAGAUCAGACACAGCAUAUCUUAAAUAAUAUGGUUAUAAAACUGCAAGAAGACAAGCGAAGGAAAUUUAUGUGGUCUGAGAUUUCUUACUUUUCAAAAUGGUGGGAUGGAAUAGAUAGCCAAAAAAAGGAUGCUGUUAAAAGGUUAAUAAAAGAUGGACAAUUUGAAAUAGUAACAGGAGGAUGGGUCAUGCCUGAUGAAGCCUCUCCUCAUUAUUUUGCUUUAAUUGACCAACUGAUAGAAGGACAUCAAUGGCUAGAAAAGAACCUUGGAGUAAAACCAAAGUCUGGAUGGGCAAUUGAUCCUUUUGGGCAUUCACCAACAAUGGCCUACCUUCUGAAACGCACGGGAUUUUCCAAUAUGCUUAUACAAAGAGUUCAUUAUUCAGUUAAAAAACAUUUUGCAAUGCAGAAGACACUGGAAUUUUUUUGGAGACAGAACUGGGAUUUGGGAUCCAGUACAGAUAUCCUUUGUCAUAUGAUGCCUUUCUAUAGCUAUGAUGUUCCUCAUACUUGUGGUCCAGAUCCAAAAAUCUGCUGCCAGUUUGAUUUCAAACGUCUUCCCGGGGGAAGAGUAAGCUGUCCAUGGAGAGUUCCACCAGAAGCCAUUCACGCUGGAAAUGUUCAACACAGGGCUUGGAUGAUUUUAGAUCAAUACAGAAAGAAGUCAAAGCUUUUCCGUACUAAAGUUCUGUUGGCUCCACUAGGGGAUGAUUUCCGCUAUGCUGAGAGCUCAGAAUGGGAUCAACAGUACCAGAAUUAUCAGAAGCUGUUUGACUAUAUGAAUUCUCAUCCUGAGUGGCAUGUUAAGGCCCAGUUUGGAACCUUAUCAGAUUACUUUGAAGCUCUGCGCAAAGAAAGCAAUUUGGGUGAAAGGAGGAGCAAUUCAUUUUUCCCUGUUUUAAGUGGAGACUUCUUCACCUAUGCAGACAGAGAUCAUCAUUACUGGAGUGGAUACUUUACAUCACGACCCUUCUAUAAACGACUGGAUAGAGUCCUGGAAUCCUACUUACGGGCAGCUGAAAUCCUCUACUCCUUGGCUUUAGUACAGUCCAGUAAAUCUGAGAAGAUGAGUGUAUUUCCUUCAGUGGAUAACUAUAAAUUGCUAACAGAAGCUAGGAGGAACCUUGGACUCUUUCAGCAUCAUGAUGCUAUUACAGGAACAUCUAAAGAUUGGGUAGUUGUGGAUUAUGGCACUAGACUUUUCCACUCAAUAAUGAACUUGAAGAAAGUGAUAAUUGACUCUGCUCAUAUUCUUAUCCUGAAGGAUAAAGGUGCUUAUAAUUAUGACACAUCAACUCCAUUCCUGAAGAUGGAUGGUGUUCAGUCUUCCCAAGAUUCUUUGCCACACAAGACAGUUAUAAAGCUGACAUCGCAACCAAGGUACCUUUUGAUAUAUAAUCCUACAGAACAAGAGCGAUUUUCAGUCGUUUCAGUCAAUGUCAAUUCACCCAGAGUUAAAUUAUUAUCUCCUUUGGGAAAACCUGUUGUUAUCCAGAUUAGUGCUGUUUGGGAUGGAGCAACUACAGUAUCACAUGAAGCAUAUCAGGUCUCUUUCGUCGCGCAUCUACCACCUCUGGGGAUUGGAGUUUACCAGCUUUUGGAGGUUCAGAGUUCAGAAGCAGUUUUAACAGACUAUAAUAUAUACAUGAGGAAUAGUAGGCAGGAGAAGCCAGACAAACUUUUCAAGAUAAAAGAGAUGCAGCAUUCUGUGGAUAAUAUAAUAUUAGAAAAUUCUUACAUGAAACUGUGGUUUUCUGGAAUGUCUGGAUUACUGGAGAAAAUAAAUACCAAAGAAGAUGGUAAAAAUCAUCAAAUGAAGGUGGAGUUUGCUUGGUAUGGAACUACAAGUAACCGAGAUAAAAGUGGAGCUUAUCUCUUCUUACCAGAUGGAGACGCCAAGCCUUAUAUUUUUACAGAUCCACCUACCAUACGAGUUGCUCAUGGAAGGAUUUUCUCAGAAGUUGUAUGUUUUUUCCACCAUGUGACACAUACCAUGCGACUGUAUAAAGUCCAGGGUUUGGAAGGCCCAUCUCUUGAAGUUUCCAACAUUGUGGAUAUUAGAGGAGAAUACAAUCGUGAGCUUGCGAUGAGAAUUUCAUCUGACAUAAACAGUCAGAAUAGAUUCUAUACUGAUCUUAAUGGAUAUCAGAUUCAGCCCAGACUGACGAUGAGCAAAUUGCCUCUUCAAGCAAAUAUCUAUCCUAUGACUACAAUGGCUUAUAUCCAAGAUGUUGGCGUUCGUUUGACACUUCAUUCAGCUCAGUCUCUAGGUGUUGCAAGCUUGAAAAAUGGUCAGUUGGAAGUGAUCAUGGAUCGUCGUCUUAUGCAGGAUGACAACCGUGGCCUUGGACAAGGUGUCCAAGAUAACAAGAUUACAGCUAAUAUCUUCCGGCUUCUGCUGGAAAGAAGACAUGGAACAGAUGUGGAAGGCCUUACUCAUUCCUGCUGCAAGCUCUGGUGGUACGGCAGAAUCCUUCUUAAAGGAGGGAGAAAGGCUGCAAGUUCCGCUGCUGCUGCUUCUUGUAUUCUCAAGUGAAAUAACUCUGGAGGGGCAAUCUCCUUGCACGUGGAACAAGCAGUUUCCAUCAGCAGCAAGAACUUCACAUGAGCAGCAUAAUUCCAAUGCAGAUAGCUUCUCUGGAGGACAAAAAUCAGGAGAUAUCAUUGCAUAGUUUCUGUCUUUAGCAUCAGUUUGGUUACCUACUUCCUCAUCAAAGCAGAACUCCAGAAAAUUUCUGAUCACUGUGUUCUGCCAUCGUCGGGAACAGGAUAUGCUCUUCCCAGUCAACAGGAAACAAAAUCUAGCACUGUGUCCUUUCCAUGACUCCAGUAUGGGUUAUUUGUUUAGGCAUUAAGUCCCUCCUCCUUCCUCCUGCACCAUUAUAGAACAAUAUAAAAACUGUAAGAAGAAUUAGAAGAGAAGAAAUAAAAUCAGUGGGAGAGGCAGCUAUAACUAAAGUAUAAAAUACUUUUAUUGUUGAGACAAGCAUGUCAUGCUGUCUAUCUGCUUUUGUAGUUUUAUCCAACUAUACUGAUGGCUGCAUAUUUGUCAGCCUCAGUAAUUAUGGUGGUGAGCUUAUGGUUAUGGUGACUAGUUACUUUCUUUGCUAUCUGCGCUCUUCUGUAGACAAGCGAGCAGCUGUUCUUCAAAUUAUCUGUUUAUAGAACUUGACUGCUAUUAUGGCAUCUGAAUAAAGACUAACUAAAUUAAACGCCAGGACCUGACAGUCAUCGAGGGAACAGUGAUAGGUGAAGGAAGUGAAGGAACCUGACCAGGAAGGAGUGGAACUGCUGAACUGGCUGCUCAUGAGACCAUGAAGGGAAGAAGAUUAGAUUGUUCCUGGUGUGAAACCCAACAAGACAACUCAGCAGAAAUCAGUUCAUGCAGACUAAGGGCAUUAUUGCCUACAGGGGUCCAGGACUUACAGGAUUUGGAGGAGGGAGAGAAUUUUAGAUUUGUUUUGGGGGAAAAAAAAAAAGAAAAAAAAUUAAGAGGCUUGUUAUGGGUUGUUCAGUGGAAGGGACAUAGGAGGUGAAAGAGAAGGAUCAAGGAGGAACAAGUGGGAAAAAGAGGGGCAAAAAGGGUGUAAAAGGGUCUGAUCAAGUCCAGUGCUUGAUCACCACAGCCUAUCCUGUAUUCUUAUUAAAUCUGGUUUCUGUGUGAGUGCACAACCUUUUUUGAAUCUGUGUGAGCCGUUAGCCAACUUCAGGAAAGACUAGGAAGCAAGUAGAAUAAGAGUUCUGGGUGUCAGCUAUUGGAGAGAGAGAGGCCAUGGGAUGAAGGCACCAGUGCAACUGGCUGCCAUUUGCUGGCAAGACCUAUUUUUAAUGUGUGUGCAUAUAAACUGCUAACAAACUUCAAGCUGACAGGUAGGGGCCCGCAUCUGGAAGGAUGUGAAGUCUGAGCUGGUGAAUGGUUGAGAGGCCUGAGGUCCAGGCCUGGAUGUCAGACAGACAUAAAGUCCACCCUGAUUUUUGAGGGAUCAGUGAUUGUUGAGUGUACUUGUGAAUCAAGAAAGUGAGGGUCUUUGUCUGAUGAACUUCAGACCUGAUCAGCUGGAGGGCACAGUCAGGGUUCUGCUCAUGUUACCCAAGAGCUCUGUGUUUAUGUGGGUGCUGGUAAAGGUGCUGCUCUCUACUCACUUGUAUGGCUGGCUGUGUGUGUGUGCACGCCUAUUGGGAAUACAUGCUCUGCCUUUCUCCUGCCUGGUCUUGGAGGAGCAGAACCACAGCAGGCUCCCAUCUAUCAACAUGGGAUGAGAGGAGACCCCUUGGUCUUAGAGACUACCAAAUUUAGCUCUAGCAGACUGGGAAGAACAGUGGGUCCAAAUUUCCCUGGAUUUGGUUCCCUGAAGCAGUCCCAGGUUUCCUCACCUGCAGUCUCAGUGCCAGCUAAGAAUUCACAGGCAGUACAGAAACUCUGUGGUGACUUUAGAGUCACUCUGAACCAACUCACAGCCUCAUGGAUAUUUUACAGUGCCUCAGAAUUUUCAUUUAUUCUAUAAUCAGCCUCCGGGUAACCCUUUCACCUAGUGUGGCAGAAAUGCGUUUCCAGUGUAACAGCCUCCAAGUGAAUUGAUAGAAAAUUUUCCAUUCCCUGAGGUAAAGAGGUAAUACCAGUUUUUGUCUGCUCAGUUGAGUCCUCCUUUGCUGGUCACUUCAGCAGCUAUCAAAAAACCCUAAGCAUUCCAGAUCAUGAUUCUCAAUAAAGGACUUAAAACAUAUUGCCAAAAGAAUUUAUGCUUUGAUGUGCAAAACUGUGACAUAACUGAUGAAUAUUUCAGUGUUGACAAAUGUGUAUAUGUGAACAAUUCUGACAGAUCUAAUCCUUAUAUUUUUCAGGAUUUUUGCUCCCCAGGAUUUCAGGAAGGACUGAUGGUCUAGUAUAGCAGAAAAUAAUCUGCCAUCUGUAUUCUUGUUUAUAGUCUUGGUGAGAUUUCAGGAUAGCUGCCUGUUCAGUACUCACAUUUGUGGCUGUUACUUUUGGUUGCAAUUUAUCCAGGCCUCCCUAAAAGUCUAAUUCAUUGUAGAGGACCUGCUUUUUUACAGAGAUUACCUGAAGAUUGUUCUGCUGAAGAUUCUUGGGCAGCUUUGAGGUCUUAGGUGUUCUGAAUCCCACUGCUUAGAGAAAAUCUUCCUAUCACCCUGUUUGAUUUCCAUACAAAAUUCUCUCUACAACCACCAGCCAGUCUGAAAGCUGCUUGAAGUGAUGGUCAGUGUUUUCUUUGACACAUGGUUGCAUCAGCAUUGCACUCUUGGACACUGGAAAGGAAUUAUUCACCUCAGAACAAUUUAACCAAAUUUCAUCAGUGACUAAUGGCUAUUUGUUGCAUUAUGGGUGUAAGCCCUGUUACUGACUAUCCUUCUCUCCUUCUCAAAAGCACUAGGAGUUUUUACAGGCACACAAAAAUCUAGCUCCAGACAUUGAUCUUAGAAGAAAGAGAAUGAUACAUCCAUAUCUAGAGGACUUUCAGAACUUGUCAGACUGAUUAUUCUUUUUGUAUUGCAAUGUGCAACUUUGGAUGAAUUUAAAGCAAGUGGAUCUGAUUUUCACUUGGUGAGGUUAACAGCCAGGCAGUCUUGUGUGUAAAGCCUGCAACUAAGUUGAAACCAUUUACUGUUUGAUGUCAGUUUCAUGAAUUUGACUAGUACAAGGCCCAGAUAAAAUCUGAAUUACUCUUCCAAGUUGGGAGCUUUAGGGCAAUGUGUGUGCAAGAGUGUUGUGUAAUUUUCUCACUCUCUUCCGGUUUAUAGACACCUCCUUCCUCAAGUGGGGAGUACUCUACAUAGUAAAGGAUUCAAGAUGUUUGCAUUUGGGGAAGAAUGUAUGUAGUUUAAAGCUAAGGCAUCUGUCCAUACCGGUCACUUAUUUUUGUCAUGUGUUGUAAAACUGCAUAUUCACAUAGUCAACGAUUGUUGUCUGCCAUUUGUUUCUCACCUGUAAGCAGGCUAUCACAGUAUUACCCAACCAGUUUCUCAUGUAGAAGCAGCUUCUCAUGAAACAUGCAGAUGGAUUGUCAAUCUUUGGAUUGUACAGAAAGGAACAAAUUUUUCUUUCCAUGUUUGUCUUUGGGAACCUUUAGGUUCUUUGGCUGACCAUGUCAGUUGCUGUCAGUUGCCAGAUUAUGAUGGAGAGAUAUUUAAUAAUAUUGUCUCCCUAUGUUUCGGACUAGAGAUGCUCUGAAGAGUCUUUUUACUCCACGGAUUAGAUUUUCCAGUCCAGAAACAUUCUUCUUUGAAGAGUGCUGCCAGUUGGUUUUCUGAACGCGUGGCAGAGAAAGUUGAUAAAAAUUGUUUCCUCACACAACAUAAGCGUGAGUGAGAGACUUUUUUCUUCCAGGAAUAGUCCAGGUGGUUUGGUAUCAGACUAUUUUAAUCUGCAUCCCUUGAUUUAGCAGGCCCAGAAUUCUAUCUGUUUCCAGCUUCUAUUUGAAUGCACUGACAUCCAAAGUCAGCAUCCACAUUUCAGGAUGUUUGAUCAGAUAGUUUGGAUGCUGGUGGGGUUUUGGAGUUAUAAUUAAAUUUCUUUCCUGACUAGGGUUCUUCACAGCAGAGAACAGUCUAGAGAAGGAGUAAAUAGUAAAGAUUUGUGAUUUGAUAUUCUGCCUGCCUCAGUUUCCUUUCCUCACUUUCGUAUGGGAAAUUUUAGACUACUUGUCUGUGUUGAAAGUUAUUUGUUUCUCUCUUAGCUCAACUGAAGUCCAAUUAUCAACAGCUUCAGCUUUACUUUCUUCUUUACAGUAUUUUCCAUUUCUUUUUCCAUUCAAUAACUAAGUGAUUUCUGAAGAGUCUAAUUAGUGUUUUUCCUCUCUAAUUAAGGACCUCAGUUCCUCAGUUUAAACUCUUACCAGAAAACCCUUUGAGUCUUUUCUUAAUCUGUUCCAUCCGCCGUUUAUUGAUAAAAUAGCUCAUUUCUGAUAUAAGGGCACUUUUGACAGAUGAGGCCAUUCUUAGAACUUGUUGCAAAUUGUAACCUAAGGUUAUACUGGAGUGUGGUUUGUUUGUUUGUUUUUUUCUCAAAACUAAAAGUUUAGAAUUAUUCACCUUACUUUUGAUGACAAGGAAAGAUCCUAUGUGAGGAUUUGUUUACAUCUAUUGCACAGUGAUUCAAGGAGUUGUAUUUCAACACAGUUUCUAAUUGGAUAACUGUAUAUGAAUGUGCUGUAAGGUAGUUAAAAAAAGCAGUAUUUGCUUUGAUUAGAGCUCAUUAAGCCAGCACUCAGCUAUAUCAGUGGCAUUCAUCAGAAUCUUGCCAGUGCGUAAUGUUUGUAAGGCUGCCAGUGGAGCUUCAUUCACACUUUGAGUGCUAAACACUGUCAUUGAAGUUGAGGAAAUAAUGCCACUUUUGAGAGAGCAGUACCUUAAUUAGAUGGAGACUGUGGGACUAUGUCUUCUGACUUAGCAUCAGCAGAGUACUGCUGAAAGCCGCCCACACAGUGAAUGUGUGUAUAGAGUAUUGUUCCAAAUGUGUUGUCUGUACAUGCAAACCCUUCCCAUCUCUCUUUCCCCAGAGUCCUGUUUAAAUUUUGGAUCACUAGAUUGGGAGGGGAAGGAUAUACUCCAAUCCUUUCAUGACUGUGAGGUACCUAGGGUGGAGUGGGAUUUGAAGUGUCCCUUCUGGAUCUUCUGUGAUAGCAUUGUCUUCACAGUGUUUGAAAAACUCUUUUUCCCUUGGUCUCCUGGCAGCUUUUACACCUGCUGUAUUCUCCAUUCCCAUUGCUAUUACAUAGAUUGACUGAAUGACUGUACUUCUGUUGGUGCAGUCAUCCAAAACUGACUGUGGUUCCAGAUGUGGGAAUACACGAUUCAAGAUAAAAUCUCCACCUAAGACUUAGUGCAGCUUUUCAAAUUUUCAAAGUGGAUAAUGCUUAAGUACAAUGCUUAUGCCCAUGAUAAAACAUCCAAACACAGUGGGAGCAGAACUGAGCUGAGUUGGAGCAGAACUGAGCUGAAUUGAAUCAGCUCUGGCUCUAGCAUUUGCCAGAAUCCUUCAAGACUGUGUUUCUCUGCAAUCCUCAGUUAUUUCCAGAAUCUAGGAAUUGAGGAGCCGCUCUUUAUGGUUCUGCUACAGGUUACAUAGGGAUUUUGUCCCACUGCGCAUUAAUAGUAAAUGAUUCUUUCCCUCCCACAUUCUUCUUCAAAGUUUCCAGUGUCUUUCCUUCCAUCUUUCCUGGUUUCUCAACUGCGAUAUAUGUUACUGCAUCUUUAUAUUAAAAACACUGGUUUUUAUUCUCAUUACUUCUGUUAGCCUUAGAGAAAGCUUUGAAGGAUUCUGUCCUAGAAGAUUGACCUGCCCAGUGCUACCUUUUCCUAGACAAGGCUGAGGAUUCAUCUGAUAUUUUUACCAUGGGCUAUUUUUUACUUUCAUGUCAGCCAAUAUACAAACUUGCCUCCCAUUUUUUCCUGUACUGCUGAUCUCUGGGAUUUGGGCAAGGUUUUGACUCAUGGAUAUCAUGCUUGUGUUUAUGUAAACAGUAUUUUUCUGUACAUGGAACAGAAGCCUUCAGAAAGGUCUCAUGUCUCUUCCUCUCAAAUGACCUUGGUGGGAUUUUCAGAGGAACAUCUGUUUCUGAAAUUAUGAGGACAUCUAAAUGAGUUCUGUUUGUUUUCAGCAAGCACUGUACUUCCAGGCAUUAAGUUGCACUUAGUAGAAUGAUUUUUCAGUCACUCUUCCCAUAAGAAACUGUGGCCCUUCUCCAAAAUGAAGAGAAGGCAUCAGUCAGUUUUCCCUCACUAUUUAGCCAUAUGACUUCUUCUUUCUUAAAUCAUCCUGUAAUUCUAAUG